GGUUCGAUUCUGGCUCAGAUUGAACGCUGGCGGGAUGCUUUACACAUGCAAGUCGAACGGCAGCACGGACUUCGGUCUGGUGGCGAGUGGCGAACGGGUGAGUAAUGUAUCGGAACGUGCUCUAGUAGCGGGGGAUAACUACGGCGAAAGCGUAGCUAAUACCGCAUACGCCCUUUCGGGGAAAGCGGGGGGACCUUCGGGCCUGGCACUAUUAGAGCGGCCGAUAUCGGAUUAGCUAGUUGGUGGGGUAACGGCUCACCAAGGCGACGAUCCGUAGCUGGUUUGAGAGGACGACCAGCCACACUGGGACCGAGACACGGCCCAGACUCCACGGGAGGCAGCAGUGGGGAAUUUUGGACAAUGGGGGAAACCCUGAUCCAGCCAUCCCGCGUGUGCGAUGAAGGCCUUCGGGUUGUAAAGCACUUUUGGCAGGAAAGAAGAAACGGCACGGGAUAAUACCCGUGCAACUGACGGUACUCAUGCAGAAUAAAGCACCGGCUAACUACGUGCCAGCAGCCGCGGUAAUACGUAGGUGCAAGCGUUAAUCGGAAUUACUGGGCGUAAAGCGUGCGCAGGCGGUUCGGAAAGAAAAGAUGUGAAAUCCCAGAGCUUAACUUUGAACUGCAUUUUUAACUACCGAGCUAGAGUGUGUCAGAGGGAGGUGGAAUUCGCGUGUAGCAGGAAAUGCGUAGAUAUGCGGAGGAACACCGAUGGCGAAGGCAGCCUCCUGGGAUAACACUGACGCUCAUGCACGAAAGCGUGGGGAGCAAAACAGGAUUAGAUACCCUGGUAGUCCACGCCCUAAACGAUGUCAACUAGCUGUUGGGGCCUUCGGGCCUUGGUAGCGCAGCUAACGCGCAGUUGACCGCCUGGGGAGUACGGUCGCAAGAUUAAAACUCAAAGGAAUUGACGGGACCCGCACAAGCGGUGGAUGAUGUGAUUAAUUCGAUGCAACGCGAAAAACCUACCUACCCUUGACAUGUCUGGAAUCCCCGAAGAGAUUUGGGAGUGCUCGCAAGAGAACCGAACACAGGUGCUGCAUGGCUGUCGUCAGCUCGUGUCGUGAGAUGUUGGGUUAAGUCCCGCAACGAGCGCAACCCUUGUCAUUAGUUGCUACGAAAGGGCACUCUAUCGAGACUGCCGGUGACAAACCGGAGGAAGGUGGGGAUGACGUCAAGUCCUCAUGGCUCUUAUGGGUAGGGCUUCACACGUCAUACAAUGGUCGGGACAGAGGGUCGCCAACCCGCGAGGGGGAGCCAAUCCCAGAAACCCGAUCGUAGUCCGGAUCGCAGUCUGCAACUCUCGACUGCGUGAAGUCGGAAUCGCCAGUAAUCGCGGAUCAGCAUGUCGCGGUGAAUACGCGUUCCCGGGUCUUGUACACACCACUCGUCACACCAUGCGGGAGUGGGUUUUACCAGAAGUAGUUAGCCUAACCGUAAGGAGUGGCGAUUACCACGGUAGGAUCUGCGACUGGGGUGAAGUCGUACUGAAGGUAA
RNAcentral lists this ribosomal RNA (1496 nucleotides) under uncultured Bordetella sp. RNAcentral's name for it is "partial 16S-23S ribosomal RNA intergenic spacer". It matches the Rfam family "Bacterial small subunit ribosomal RNA". The record is from RNAcentral. Lineage: Bacteria; Pseudomonadati; Pseudomonadota; Betaproteobacteria; Burkholderiales; Alcaligenaceae.